AGUGAACGCUGGCGGUAGGCCUAACACAUGCAAGUCGAACGGCAGCACAGUAAGAGCUUGCUCUUACGGGUGGCGAGUGGCGGACGGGUGAGGAAUACAUCGGAAUCUACUUUUUCGUGGGGGAUAACGUAGGGAAACUUACGCUAAUACCGCAUACGACCUACGGGUGAAGGCAGGGGAUCUUCGGACCUUGCGCGAUUGAAUGAGCCGAUGUCGGAUUAGCUAGUUGGCGGGGUAAAGGCCCACCAAGGCGACGAUCCGUAGCUGGUCUGAGAGGAUGAUCAGCCACACUGGAACUGAGACACGGUCCAGACUCCUACGGGAGGCAGCAGUGGGGAAUAUUGGACAAUGGGCGCAAGCCUGAUCCGGCCAUACCGCGUGGGUGAAGAAGGCCUUCGGGUUGUAAAGCCCUUUUGUUGGGAAAGAAAAGCAGCAGGUUAAUACCCCGCUGUUCUGACGGUACCCAAAGAAUAAGCACCGGCUAACUUCGUG
This 492-nucleotide ribosomal RNA is filed under the name uncultured bacterium. RNAcentral describes it as "partial 16S ribosomal RNA". It matches the Rfam family "Bacterial small subunit ribosomal RNA", at positions 29 to 507 of the family's 1533-position model. The record is from RNAcentral.